RNAcentral lists this ribosomal RNA (1044 nucleotides) under Salmonella enterica. RNAcentral's name for it is "bacterial SSU rRNA". It matches the Rfam family "Bacterial small subunit ribosomal RNA", at positions 1 to 1034 of the family's 1533-position model. Lineage: Bacteria; Pseudomonadati; Pseudomonadota; Gammaproteobacteria; Enterobacterales; Enterobacteriaceae. The record is from RNAcentral.
AAAUUGAAGAGUUUGAUCAUGGCUCAGAUUGAACGCUGGCGGCAGGCCUAACACAUGCAAGUCGAACGGUAACAGGAAGCAGCUUGCUGCUUCGCUGACGAGUGGCGGACGGGUGAGUAAUGUCUGGGAAACUGCCUGAUGGAGGGGGAUAACUACUGGAAACGGUGGCUAAUACCGCAUAACGUCGCAAGACCAAAGAGGGGGACCUUCGGGCCUCUUGCCAUCAGAUGUGCCCAGAUGGGAUUAGCUUGUUGGUGAGGUAACGGCUCACCAAGGCGACGAUCCCUAGCUGGUCUGAGAGGAUGACCAGCCACACUGGAACUGAGACACGGUCCAGACUCCUACGGGAGGCAGCAGUGGGGAAUAUUGCACAAUGGGCGCAAGCCUGAUGCAGCCAUGCCGCGUGUAUGAAGAAGGCCUUCGGGUUGUAAAGUACUUUCAGCGGGGAGGAAGGUGUUGUGGUUAAUAACCACAGCAAUUGACGUUACCCGCAGAAGAAGCACCGGCUAACUCCGUGCCAGCAGCCGCGGUAAUACGGAGGGUGCAAGCGUUAAUCGGAAUUACUGGGCGUAAAGCGCACGCAGGCGGUCUGUCAAGUCGGAUGUGAAAUCCCCGGGCUCAACCUGGGAACUGCAUUCGAAACUGGCAGGCUUGAGUCUUGUAGAGGGGGGUAGAAUUCCAGGUGUAGCGGUGAAAUGCGUAGAGAUCUGGAGGAAUACCGGUGGCGAAGGCGGCCCCCUGGACAAAGACUGACGCUCAGGUGCGAAAGCGUGGGGAGCAAACAGGAUUAGAUACCCUGGUAGUCCACGCCGUAAACGAUGUCUACUUGGAGGUUGUGCCCUUGAGGCGUGGCUUCCGGAGCUAACGCGUUAAGUAGACCGCCUGGGGAGUACGGCCGCAAGGUUAAAACUCAAAUGAAUUGACGGGGGCCCGCACAAGCGGUGGAGCAUGUGGUUUAAUUCGAUGCAACGCGAAGAACCUUACCUGGUCUUGACAUCCACAGAACUUUCCAGAGAUGGAUUGGUGCCUUCGGGAACUGUGAGA